This 481-nucleotide ribosomal RNA is filed under the name uncultured bacterium. RNAcentral describes it as "partial 16S ribosomal RNA". It matches the Rfam family "Bacterial small subunit ribosomal RNA", at positions 28 to 507 of the family's 1533-position model. The record is from RNAcentral.
GAUGAACGCUGGCGGCGUGCUUAACACAUGCAAGUCGAACGAAGCACUUUAUUUGAUUUCCUUCGGGACUGAUUAUUUUGUGACUGAGUGGCGGACGGGUGAGUAACGCGUGGGUAACCUGCCUUGUACAGGGGGAUAACAGUUGGAAACGGCUGCUAAUACCGCAUAAGCGCACAGCAUCGCAUGAUGCAGUGUGAAAAACUCCGGUGGUAUAAGAUGGACCCGCGUUGGAUUAGCUAGUUGGUGAGGUAACGGCCCACCAAGGCGACGAUCCAUAGCCGACCUGAGAGGGUGACCGGCCACAGUGGGACUGAGACACGGCCCAAACUCCUACGGGAGGCAGCAGUGGGGAAUAUUGCACAAUGGGCGAAAGCCUGAUGCAGCGACGCCGCGUGAGCGAAGAAGUAUUUCGGUAUGUAAAGCUCUAUCAGCAGGGAAGAUAAUGACGGUACCUGACUAAGAAGCACCGGCUGAAUACGUG